UACAUAGGUUGCAAGCGUUAUCCGGAAUUAUUGGGCGUAAAGGAUGCGUAGAUGGUUUGAUAAGUUAUCAGUGGAAAAUCGGGGCUCAACCUCGUGGAAGUUGGUAAUACUGUCAUACUCGAGUGCAGGAGAAGUUAACGGAACUCUAUAUGGAGCGGUAAAAUGUGACGAUAUAUAGAAGAACACCAAUAAGGCGAAGGCAGUUAACUAGUCUGUUACUGACAUUGAGGCAUGAAAGCGUGGGGAGCAAAACGG
Molecule: ribosomal RNA, 255 nt
Filed under: uncultured bacterium
Lineage: Bacteria
Description: partial 16S ribosomal RNA
Rfam family: Bacterial small subunit ribosomal RNA
Source: RNAcentral